Molecule: long non-coding RNA, 210 nt
Organism: Thalassophryne amazonica
Lineage: Eukaryota; Metazoa; Chordata; Actinopteri; Batrachoidiformes; Batrachoididae
Exons: 3
Source: RefSeq, a predicted model, not a curated record
CAGUUAAUGCAAUGUGCUUCUGUACCUUGAUAUUGCCUGGCAGUGCCUGGAAUAAACUGUGGACUCAUGAGUGAUCAUCUGCAAAGGAAUUGAUUGCAGCUGGAACAGAUUGGAUCCGUGUACACUUUCAACAUUAAUAUUUCAGAACAUGUGUGUGUCAGGGUAAGUUUAAUACUUUCCUUACAUAAUUUAAUGUAAAUUAAUUUUACU